RNAcentral lists this ribosomal RNA (245 nucleotides) under uncultured bacterium. RNAcentral describes it as "partial 16S ribosomal RNA". It matches the Rfam family "Bacterial small subunit ribosomal RNA", at positions 524 to 768 of the family's 1533-position model. The record is from RNAcentral.
UACGUAGGUAGCGAGCGUUAUUCGGAUUUACUGGGCGUAAAGGGUCCGCAGGAGGCCUGCCAAGUCUGACGUGAAAGCCCACGGCUCAACUGUGGAACGGCGUCGGAAACUGGCGGGCUCGAGUGCACGAGGGGAAAGCGGAAUUCCAGGUGUAGCGGUGGAAUGCGUAGAUAUCUGGAGGAACACCGAUGGCGAAGGCGGCUUUCUGGCGUGCAACUGACUCUCAGGGACGAAAGUGUGGGGAG